UCACUUCCCAUUAAGCCGUGAAUGCCUAUAUAAGGCCUGCCGGUUUCGGCCGGCUAUGGCGAUAAAUUGCGGUGUGCAAUAGGCACAGCGGACCCGGGGGCAGUACCCGGCGGCUCCACCACCAGGCACGGGAAACCGGGCUUUAUGACGGGGCCGAACCAGGAUCGACGUGUGUUGAAAAGCACUGUUUUCGCCCGGGCUGAGUAACCCGUUCAAGGCUCAAAACACACAAGUGCCAAUGACAAUGAAGCACUCGCAAUCGCCGCGUAAUUUUACGGCCUAACGGCCCAAAUUUACAAAGCUAAGCGCGGUUGGACCCACCGGGCAACAGAAGCGGAUUCCGGGGGCCCGGGGUGGGCCUAGCAACAGAACCACCCCACU
This 381-nucleotide transfer-messenger RNA is filed under the name Novosphingobium sp. The stretch from base 1 to 342 matches the Rfam family "Alphaproteobacteria transfer-messenger RNA". Rfam says of the family: Bacterial tmRNA, also known as 10Sa RNA or SsrA, is named for its dual tRNA and mRNA-like properties. Its role is to liberate the mRNA from a stalled ribosome. The record is from RNAcentral. Lineage: Bacteria; Pseudomonadati; Pseudomonadota; Alphaproteobacteria; Sphingomonadales; Sphingomonadaceae.